Molecule: ribosomal RNA, 328 nt
Filed under: Sandonidae sp.
Lineage: Eukaryota; Cercozoa; Glissomonadida; Sandonidae
Description: SSU rRNA
Rfam family: Eukaryotic small subunit ribosomal RNA
Source: RNAcentral
GAUUUCUGGCUUGAAACAUUUAGCCGGCCACGGUUUCGUGUGUUAGUGCUUUUAUGUUCUGGCCAUCCUUCCCAUUUGCUCUUUUACUCUUUCUUCAUUGACAGGGUAAAGGUAUGGGAUCGUUUACUUUGAAAAAAUUAGAGUGUUUCAAGCAGGCUGUAAUGCUAUGAAUACAUUAGCAUGGAAUAAUAAUUUAGGACUUCGGUUCUAUUUUGUUGGUCUUCUAGGACUGAAGUAAUGAUUGAUAGGGAUAGUUGGGGGUGCUAGUAUUCAGCGGCCAGAGGUGAAAUUCUCGGAUUCGCUGAAGACUAACUUAUGCGAAAGCAUU